This is a non-coding RNA of Phthorimaea operculella (potato tuberworm), 76 nucleotides long. The record is from the annotation of a GenBank genome assembly. Lineage: Eukaryota; Metazoa; Arthropoda; Insecta; Lepidoptera; Gelechiidae.
GCCGCGGUAGCCUAGUUGGUAGUGGCGUCGGCAGUACAGAUACCAAAAGUCGCAGGUUGAAAUCCUGCCUGCUGCG